This 476-nucleotide unclassified non-coding RNA is filed under the name Hevea brasiliensis (rubber tree). Lineage: Eukaryota; Viridiplantae; Streptophyta; Magnoliopsida; Malpighiales; Euphorbiaceae. The record is from RNAcentral.
ACUCAGAGUACCCUCCAAGAGCAACCUCUCAACUUGGUUCGAUCAUGACUCGUGGUGCAUCUGUUGUUGGACUGGUCGGUGCAGCUGCCUGUUUGCUUUCGACAUUUUGGGCCUUUUAUGGGAGAGGAGAUGGUGAUUUUGGCAGUAUAUCUAAUAGAUGGGAGUUCUUGCUCAGCUAUCUAUCCUCUGAAAGACUUGCUUAUGCCUUCAUCUGGGAUAUUUGUCUCUACAUUAUUUUCCAACCUUGGUUGAUAGGAGAUAACUUGCAAAACAUCCAGGAAGAUAAGGCUGACAUAGUGAGAUAUCUCAGAUAUGUUCCAGUUGUUGGCUUAGUUGCUUACUGCCUUUGUUUGGAUCUUGAAGAUGAAAACUAGCUAAUUUUGUUUCUAGCGGAGACGAGAAAACACUAGUUAGUUAUUUCCAAUCUGUCCUAGCCUUGGUGGACUGUACCUAUUGCCGGUGGGAGGUGGUAGGUA